CGGGACGGGUGAGUAAUGUCUGGGAAACUGCCGAUGGAGGGGGAUAACUACUGGAAACGGUAGCUAAUACCGCAUAACGUCGCAAGACCAAAGAGGGGGACCUUAGGGCCUCUUGCCAUCGGAUGUGCCCAGAUGGGAUUAGCUAGUAGGUGGGGUAACGGCUCACCUAGGCGACGAUCCCUAGCUGGUCUGAGAGGAUGACCAGCCACACUGGAACUGAGACACGGUCCAG
This 232-nucleotide ribosomal RNA is filed under the name uncultured bacterium. RNAcentral describes it as "partial 16S ribosomal RNA". It matches the Rfam family "Bacterial small subunit ribosomal RNA", at positions 100 to 334 of the family's 1533-position model. The record is from RNAcentral.